AGGGCACCACCAGGAGUGGAGCCUGCGGCUUAAUUUGACUCAACACGGGAAAUCUCACCAGGCCCGGACACCGGAAGGAUUGACAGAUUGAGAGCUCUUUCUUGAUUCGGUGGGKGGKGGUGCAUGGCCGUUCUUAGUUGGUGGAGCGAUUUGUCUGGUUAAUUCCGAUAACGAACGAGACUCUGGCCUACUAACUAGACGUUAGAUCCCUUUGUGGGUCUAUCGCAGCUUCUUAGAGGGACGGGCGGCGUUUAGCCGCACGAGAUUGAGCAAUAACAGGUCUGUGAUGCCCUUAGAUGUUCUGGGCUGCACGCGCGCUACACUGAAGGAAUCAGCGUGUGUUCCCUGUCCGAAAGGACUGGGAAACCCGUUGAACCUCCUUCGUGAUGGGGAUUGGGGAUUGCAAUUAUUCCCCAUGAACGAGGAAUUCCCAGUAGGCGCGAGUCAUAAGCUUGCGUCGAUUACGUCCCUGCCCUUUGUACACACCGCCCGUCGCUACUACCGAUCGAGUGAUUUAGU
RNAcentral lists this ribosomal RNA (519 nucleotides) under uncultured eukaryote. RNAcentral's name for it is "SSU rRNA". It matches the Rfam family "Eukaryotic small subunit ribosomal RNA", at positions 1172 to 1722 of the family's 1831-position model. The record is from RNAcentral.